This 160-nucleotide small RNA is filed under the name Octodon degus (degu). Its description in RNAcentral is "TUC338 (ENSODEG00000022580.1)". The record is from RNAcentral. Lineage: Eukaryota; Metazoa; Chordata; Mammalia; Rodentia; Octodontidae.
UUGGCAGCCCUGCAGCCUUUCCUGUGUGCCCACCACACAGAUGCACCACAGGUAGUGACGGUGCCAGCAUCCCCACACUGCCUGCCCCAUGCGUCACUCUGCCUCGCAGAGGCCACCUCUAGAGGGGAGGGAAGAGAUUGUGAGCCAGUGUGUCACUUGU